AAAGCAGGGGACCUUCGGGCCUUGCGCUAUCAGAUGAGCCUAGGUCGGAUUAGCUAGUUGGUGGGGUAAUGGCUCACCAAGGCGACGAUCCGUAACUGGUCUGAGAGGAUGAUCAGUCACACUGGAACUGAAACACGGUCCAGACUCCUACGGGAGGCAGCAGUGGGGAAUAUUGGACAAUGGGCGAAAGCCUGAUCCAGCCAUGCCGCGUGUGUGAAGAAGGUCUUCGGAUUGUAAAGCACUUUAAGUUGGGAGGAAGGGCAGUAAAUUAAUACUUUGCUGUUUUGACGUUACCGACAGAAUAAGCACCGGCUAACUCUGUGCCAGCAUCCGCGGUAAUACAGAGGGUGCAAGCGUUAUUCGGAAUUACUGGGCGUAAAGCGCGCGUAGGUGGUUCGUUAAGUUGCAUGUGAUAUCCCCGGGCUCAACCUGGGAACUGCAUUCAAAACUGACGAGCUAGAGUAUGGUAGAGGGUGGUGGAAUUUCCUGUGUAGCGGUGAAAUGCGUAGAUAUAGGAAGGAACACCAGUGGCGAAGGCGACCACCUGGACUGAUACUGAACUGGAGGUGCGAAAGCGUGGGGAGCAAACAGGAUUAGAUACCCUGGUAGUCUACGCCGUAAACGAU
Molecule: ribosomal RNA, 626 nt
Filed under: Pseudomonas yamanorum
Lineage: Bacteria; Pseudomonadati; Pseudomonadota; Gammaproteobacteria; Pseudomonadales; Pseudomonadaceae
Description: bacterial SSU rRNA
Rfam family: Bacterial small subunit ribosomal RNA
Source: RNAcentral